CCUACGGGGGGCAGCAGUGGGGAAUAUUGCACAAUGGGGGAAACCCUGACGCAGCAACGCCGCGUGCGGGAUGAAGGCUUUCGGGUUGUAAACCGCUUUCAGCAGGGAAGAUAAUGACGGUACCUGCAGAAGAAGCCCCGGCUAACUCCGUGCCAGCAGCCGCGGUAAUACGGAGGAUGCGAGCGUUAUCCGGAUUUAUUGGGUUUAAAGGGUGCGCAGGCGGUCUGUUAAGUCAGCGGUCAAAGCCCGGGGCUCAACCCCGGCCCGCCGUUGAAACUGGCAGUCUCGAGUUGGAGAGAAGUAUG
RNAcentral lists this ribosomal RNA (305 nucleotides) under uncultured bacterium. RNAcentral's name for it is "bacterial SSU rRNA". It matches the Rfam family "Bacterial small subunit ribosomal RNA", at positions 338 to 661 of the family's 1533-position model. The record is from RNAcentral.